GGGGCAGGCGACGGUGGGGAAGAUGGCGUACCAGAGCUUGCGGCUGGAGUACCUGCAGAUCCCACCGCAGUUGGAAUUGAUCACACCUUUUCAGUUGUACUUCAAUCCUGAAUUAAUCUUUAAACACUUUCAAAUAUGGAGAUUAAUCACCAACUUCUUAUUUUUUGGGCCAGUCGGAUUCAAUUUUUUAUUUAACAUGAUUUUUCUAUAUCGUUACUGUCGAAUGCUAGAAGAAGGCUCUUUCCGAGGUCGGACAGCAGACUUUGUAUUUAUGUUCCUUUUUGGUGGAUUCUUAAUGACUGUAUCCUUCAACAAACAGAACACGGGAAAAUGUUGAAGAACACCCUGGCUCUUCCUAAAGCUUGUCAUCUGUCUCCCACAGUUCUCUAGAUCUUAGCUUCAGGGCACUAUCAUUUAUUUUACAGCACAUUUUCUGUGACAAGUUUCCAAGCCUAGCAGUCGGACAGGAUGAGCAAGUCAAAGGAACUUUUAACCCAGGUGGGUUACUGUUAAGCAACUCAGUUAUAUCAUUACUGCUUGGCGUACUUCACUUUUAAACUAAGUUGGUAAGACAUUUACUUGGUGGCUAUCAAAACCAAUAAAUUAUUUUUUCAGAAAAAGAAUUUUCACCUAUACAAUAGACUUAGAUAUGGUACGGUCUGACAAGAUGGUUUUGUUCCAGCUAGCUUUAUUCAUCUCUGUAAAGGUGCUAAUCGUGAGCAAGCUUUAAUAUAAUUAUUGACCGAAGAAUUAACACAUUUUCCAAAGAGGCAAGAACUUCACGAAAGCAGAGUAUUUGUUUGAAGUAGCUGUAAAUCUCGAUAAUUUAGCCUAAGCAGAUUUUUGCCUGAUUGCUCUGGGUAAUUAUUUUCUGGGUGUUUUUCCUUCUAUUCUAAAGAUGUAACAACUUGACUUUUCCAAUUCAAACUUUUGUUAGAACACAAUCUUUAGUUCUCCUGCUCAGUCUUCCCUAUUAAACUUUUAAUGUUGAUAUUUUCCUUAAUGCCAUCUGCUAGCUUUUCGGUCUGUUUGUGAGCUUAGUUUUCUUGGGCCAGGCCUUUACAAUAAUGCUCGUCUAUGUGUGGAGCC
Molecule: small RNA, 1089 nt
Filed under: Pan troglodytes (chimpanzee)
Lineage: Eukaryota; Metazoa; Chordata; Mammalia; Primates; Hominidae
Description: retained intron
Source: RNAcentral